UCGUGUCGUGAGAUGUUGGGUUAAGUCCCGUAACGAGCGCAACCCCUAUCCCUGAUUGCUAGCAGGUAAUGCUGAGAACUCCAGGGAGACUGCCGGUGACAAACCGGAGGAAGGUGGGGAUGACGUCAGGUCAUCAUGGCCCUUACGGCCAGGGCUACACACGUGCUACAAUGGCGCGUACAGAGGGCUGCGAACUCGCGAGAGUAAGCCAAUCCCUUAAAACGCGUCGUAGUCCGGAUCGGAGUCUGCAACUCGACUCCGUGAAGUCGGAAUCGCUAGUAAUCGCGAAUCAGAAUGUCGCGGUGAAUACGUUCCCGGGUCUUGUACACACCGAA
Molecule: ribosomal RNA, 335 nt
Filed under: uncultured Marinobacter sp.
Lineage: Bacteria; Pseudomonadati; Pseudomonadota; Gammaproteobacteria; Pseudomonadales; Marinobacteraceae
Description: bacterial SSU rRNA
Rfam family: Bacterial small subunit ribosomal RNA
Source: RNAcentral